GCUAAACUAAAAUACCAGGGUAUUACGAACAUCGUUUAAAACCCAAAGAGCCUGGCGGCCUUCAACAGUACUAGGGGAACCUGUGUGGUAAUCGACACUCCACGUUAAUAACUAACCUUCCUUUGAAAAAUAUUCAGCCUGUAUACCUCCGCCUUAGCUCACCUUUAAGAGACUUAUAGUGAGCAAGAAGUGAAUUCCACCAAAUGGCAGGUCAAGGUGCAGCUCAUGGGAAGGGGCAUCAUGGGUGACAAUUCGAUAAAAGAACAAUGGAUUUCCUCCGGAAACGGAGGAAUAAAAAUGGACUUAGAAGUAAGGGGUCCUUUAGAAAAGACCCCUGAAAUACUCCCUAGAAGGUGCACACAUCGCCCGUCACUCUCGGAUCCCG
This 385-nucleotide ribosomal RNA is filed under the name Hyalinella punctata. Its description in RNAcentral is "partial 12S ribosomal RNA". It matches the Rfam family "Microsporidia small subunit ribosomal RNA", at positions 752 to 1214 of the family's 1311-position model. The record is from RNAcentral. Lineage: Eukaryota; Metazoa; Bryozoa; Phylactolaemata; Plumatellidae.